CUUGGUCAUUUAGAGGAAGUAAAAGUCGUAACAAGGUUUCCGUAGGUGAACCUGCGGAAGGAUCAUUACCGAGUACCGGGGCCCUAGGUCUCUACUCCCACCCUUUGUCGACUGAAACUGUUGCUUUGGCGGGCCGGCUAAUGCCGCCGGCUUCAGCUGGAGAGCGCCCGCCAGAGGCCCUAAAACUCGAUUUAAAAUUGAGUUCUGAGUUAUAAAAUAAUAGAAGCAAAACUUUCAACAACGGAUCUCUUGGUUCUGGCAUCGAUGAAGAACGCAGCGAAAUGCGAUAAGUAAUGUGAAUUGCAGAAUUCAGUGAAUCAUCGAAUCUUUGAACGCACAUUGCGCCCUUUGGUAUUCCUUAGGGCACACCUGUUCGAGCGUCAUUACACCACUCAAGCCUAGCUUGGUAUUGGGCGCCGCGGCUUCGUCGCGCGCCUCAAAGACGUCGGCCGAGUCUUCAAGUCUCUUAGCGUUGUGCAAACUCUCGCUGGUGAGGAUUGAUGGCCCGCGCCGUUAAACCUUUUUUUCAAGGUUGACCUCGGAUCAGGUGGGGAUACCCGCUGAACUUAAGCAUAUCAAUAAGCGGAGGA
RNAcentral lists this ribosomal RNA (590 nucleotides) under uncultured Readeriella. Its description in RNAcentral is "eukaryotic LSU rRNA". The stretch from base 230 to 383 matches the Rfam family "5.8S ribosomal RNA". The record is from RNAcentral. Lineage: Eukaryota; Fungi; Ascomycota; Dothideomycetes; Capnodiales.